AGAGUUUGAUCCUGGCUCAGGAUGAACGCUGGCGGCAUGCCUAAUACAUGCAAGUCGAACGAGAGACCUUCGGGUCUCUAGUGGCGAACGGGUGAGUAACACGUAGGGAACCUGCCCGCGCACCGGGAAUACGCUCUGGAAACGGAGAACAAAUCCCGAUGUACAGGAAGGAGGCAUCUUCUUUCUGUGAAACAUCCUCUAGGGGAUGGGGCGCGGAUGGACCUGCGGUGCAUUAGUUUGUUGGCGGGGUAAAGGCCCACCAAGACGAUGAUGCAUAGCCGGCCUGAGAGGGCGGACGGCCACAUUGGGACUGAGACACGGCCCAGACUCCUGCGGGAGGCAGCAGUAGGGAAUUUUCGUCAAUGGGCGCAAGCCUGAACGAGCGAUGCCGCGUGAGUGAAGAAGGCCUUCGGGUCGUAAAGCUCUGUUGCGGGGGAAAAAAGGCAGCAUCAGGAAAUGGGUGCUGACUGAUGGUGCCCCGCCAGAAAGUCACGGCUAACUACGUGCCAGCAGCCGCGGUAAUACGUAGGUGGCGAGCGUUAUCCGGAAUGAUUGGGCGUAAAGGGUGCGCAGGCGGUCCUGCAAGUCUGGAGUGAAACGCAUGAGCUCAACUCAUGCAUGGCUUUGGAAACUGGAGGACUGGAGAGCAGGAGAGGGCGGUGGAACUCCAUGUGUAGCGGUAAAAUGCGUAGAUAUAUGGAAGAACACCAGUGGCGAAGGCGGCCGCCUGGCCUGUUGCUGACGCUGAGGCACGAAAGCGUGGGGAGCAAAUAGGAUUAGAUACCCUAGUAGUCCACGCCGUAAACGAUGAGGACCAAGUGUUGGGGGUGAAACCUCAGUGCUGAAGUUAACGCAGUGAGUCCUCCGCCUGGGGAGUAUGCACGCAAGUGUGAAACUCAAAGGAAUUGACGGGGGCCCGCACAAGCGGUGGAGUAUGUGGUUUAAUUCGAAGCAACGCGAAGAACCUUACCUGGUCUUGACAUCCCCCUGACCGGCGAGUAAUGUUGCCUUUCCUUCGGGACAGGGGAGACAGGUGGUGCAUGGUUGUCGUCAGCUCGUGUCGUGAGAUGUUGGGUUAAGUCCCGCAACGAGCGCAACCCCUAUCUUCAGUAGCCAGCAUUAAGGAUGGGCACUCUGGAGAGACUGCCAGGGACAACCUGGAGGAAGGUGGGGAUGACGUCAAAUCAUCAUGCCCCUUAUGGCCAGGGCUACACACGUGCUACAAUGGCGUAAACAAAGGGAAGCGAGCCCGCGAGGGUAAGCAAAUCUCAAAAAUAACGUCUCAGUUCGGAUUGUAGUCUGCAACUCGACUACAUGAAGCUGGAAUCGCUAGUAAUCGCGGAUCAGAAUGCCGCGGUGAAUACGUUCCCGGGUCUUGCACUCACCGCCCGUCA
Molecule: ribosomal RNA, 1394 nt
Filed under: uncultured bacterium
Lineage: Bacteria
Description: bacterial SSU rRNA
Rfam family: Bacterial small subunit ribosomal RNA
Source: RNAcentral